Non-coding RNA from Pelobates cultripes (western spadefoot toad), 219 nucleotides. The record is from the annotation of a GenBank genome assembly. NCBI's taxonomy places the organism in Eukaryota, Metazoa, Chordata, Amphibia, Anura, Pelobatidae.
CAGAGAGUGGCUUUCCACUGGUAAAUAAAUCACAAAUGACAAUAAUUAAAUAUGCAUCAACAUUCAAGGGUUGAAGAAAUCUUUUAAGAAUUUUUUUAUAGAUUACUACUGGUUACUGGUCCUACUGACCAGUUUGGGAUAACCGAAUGAAAUAGGACAAUCUUUUUAUUAAUAUUGGCAAUAUUGAUUUUGUGAACAUUGAUGUAUACGAACCUUGAC